This is a non-coding RNA of Paramuricea clavata, 304 nucleotides long. The record is from the annotation of a GenBank genome assembly. NCBI's taxonomy places the organism in Eukaryota, Metazoa, Cnidaria, Anthozoa, Malacalcyonacea, Plexauridae.
GAGAAUUUAUCAAUUAUUUAAAGUACCUCGGAUUGGCCAAUCAGAGCCAUAGUCGAGCUGUCAGUGCGUCUUGCUUUAGCCAAUAGCGUGGCUGCAUUUUCUUACACGAGGCAGCCGGAAAAUAUGAAAUUCUGUGCUUUGGAUAAUAUUUGGGCAACCUGGACGAAGGCAGCAUUCUAUUCUGGCGAAGUUGUUCGAAGCAUUUGGAAACGAAAAUUAUGGCCGAAAUUGCUCCAUUUAUCUCGCCUUUGAAGCGAAAGUCUGAUUAGCUUUCUCUGCUACACUUAUUGGUGAAACGAACAGG